CAUUCCUUUUUGAGAAAGCCACAAGGACAAGAGUACCAAGGAAUAUAUUCACAAGUAACCAAUGUCCACAUCAGACUUUCCAAAGAAUUUGAUUUGGAUGGAAGUUGUUUAAAAAGUAAAUAAAAAAUAAAAACAUUGAAAGUGGUGGCUACUGAAGAACUUUGCCGGACUCACUGAUACUGAAGAGGACCAGUGCCUUCAUGCACAGGAACUCCUCUUGAGUGACCUUCAGCAUGCAGAACCGUUGGGACAGAACCUUCAUUCGCACACAGUGCUCAUACAUACUGGAUACCUGCAUCCGCUGGCUGCAUGGAAAAAUAAAUAAAUAACGCAGGAUCAGAAAAAGGAGCACAAGAUAUGAGAAAAGAAGAUGCAUGGUGGAUCAGGUCUCUGCAAUGUGUAAGGGUGACUUACUCAUUGAAAACAAGGUCUGGAGCAAAGUAGAGCAUGGAGCUGUUGGUUUGGGUGUAGGACCUCCAACCCAGAGCAAACACCAUCACGCCCAUCCAGG
Molecule: long non-coding RNA, 511 nt
Organism: Phyllopteryx taeniolatus (common seadragon)
Lineage: Eukaryota; Metazoa; Chordata; Actinopteri; Syngnathiformes; Syngnathidae
Exons: 3
Source: RefSeq, a predicted model, not a curated record